Conger conger (European conger) is the source of this 1619-nucleotide long non-coding RNA. RefSeq lists it as uncharacterized. The record is from RefSeq and is a predicted model, not a curated record. Lineage: Eukaryota; Metazoa; Chordata; Actinopteri; Anguilliformes; Congridae. The transcript is spliced from 4 exons.
UUUACUAAAUCGACGUCGGGUCAGAUUAGUAGCUACGUUAUAAGUUCGGCAGUCAGAUGAAAACCCGUUAAAACAUGUUUGUGCAUACCCCCAAGUGAGCCUAUUUUUGUCUGUAACCCAACUUCCCACGCUGAGUUUGGCAACUUUCGCGGUCUGGAAUGAAAAUCAGAUUUGCAGACUUGGGCGCCCGCCAGCCGUCAUCAUCGGCACCUCUUUGACACACUGACGUCUCACACUCGCAGGCUCCGGUGAACGCUACCGUCGGUUUUCCAGGCCAGACACUCAGAAACACAAAUCAAGCAAUAUAGAAUUACAUCAUUUCCAAAAACCCCACUGCGUCUGCCCAGAACUCGGCUGCUGGGUUAUAAGCAAACACGGAGAGCGAAGUAGGCUAUAGUGUAGCCGGGUUUUGUACGGCUUGUGCCGCCGCUAAACAGAUCUUUUUGCGCUCUACACCAUUCCAGGCACCCCCUCACCGCCCUUCUCGCCUUCAAAACACUUCGUUUCCCGGCCACCCCCUUACCGCACAUACACACAGCCCCCCACAGCGACCCCCACGUCCCUACCUUCCGUGUGACAACUGGAGGACAGGAUUGUACUCGGAGGUCGGAAGAGCGGGCGAGGCGAAGGGACAGGAGCGGUCUCCGAGUGGGGCUGUUCCCUCGUUCACCAUGGUUCCUUCCCCCGUCAGCAGGACGAGAGACUCUGCGGGACUUUGAGUCCUCCACGCACGAAUGUUGUUUUGAAGCACUUCAUUGUGGGAGGACCAAGACGUGAGUGUCGAGACAUCGGCCACAGAACCCACACAGUUCUAUUCUCUGAGGGGGGGAGGACCAAAGCUUCCUGUUUCCUGGAGUCGGCUGCAUUUGACAUUCCUGCGCCCGGCUCCUGGCGGGAUUAAAGUUAUAAUAAACGUGCUUUUACGGAGUGAGAGCUUUUGUACGGAGUAAUGAAUUCUGGGCUCGGCUGAAUGAGGACCCCCACAAUGCUCAGCUGGAACUGGGACUUCCUGUCUCGGGUCCGGGCCUGGACCCCCGCCCAGCUGCAUGCUGGGAUACUGCCAGGCCUCCAGACCACCCAUUUUAGCCCUGGGUGGUUUCUGAGGGAUUAUGGGUAAAGAGGAACCUGCCCUGAAAUCAUGACUGCUCCCUAAUGCAGCACCAGACCUGGGACCCAUCUGUAAUUCCUUUGGAUUUUCUGAGCUCGAUUAAUCUUGCCUGUUACAACUGAGCCUGCCAAGAGGACCAGAAGGCGGGGAUUGCACUUUUUGCAAUGCACCAGACAAGCUCACUAAAGCGUAGACAAAUAUUUGAAUCCAAAACACUCCUGUAUUUGACCCUGGUAUUGCCACAUCACUAUCUUUGUUCUUGUUUACGGCCUGUGUGGGGUGUAUUGUGUUGUUUACUGCCUGUGUGAGGUGUAUUGUGUUGUUUACGGCCUGUGUGAGGUGUAUUGUGUUGUUUACUGCCUGUGUGAGGUGUAUUGUGUUGUUUACGGCCUGUGUGAGGUGUAUUGUGUUGUGUACUGCCUGUGUGAGGUGUAUUGUGUUGUUUACUGCCUGUGUGAGGUGUAUUGUGUUGUUUACUGCCUGUGUGAGGUGUAUUGUGUUGUUUACGGCC